UUGGCGAGGUUCGGUCAUUUUUUACAUCACUGGGAGCAUUGUCUCGUAAACAAUUUCAUGAUGGCUCAUAUGAAACGACUGAGCAGGCAAAUGCUAAAUGAUAACCACUCACUCAAUGAUAACCAAACACCAGUGUGAAAAGCAUAGAGGCAGAUAUUUAUUGCAGCUUAGCCUCGACUAUCACUGCUCUAAGAAAAACACACCAUUAGCCUUUGGAGUUGUUGUGGUUAUCACCAAUCAAGUAGUGGCACAAGUGGAUGGGUCUGCGAUGUUUGCUGGGCCACAAGUGGAUUCCUUGUAUACUGAAUUUGAAUCAUGAAGAUGAAGGAUAAGAAGAGGCGAUGUCUUCGACUGGUUGGAGAGCCAACCUGGGCGUCAAAGAAGAGGCGGCAGACCAAUGAGGCAGAUCACGGGGCGUCGGCGAGCCGGCAGACCUCGGGGCGUCGGUGUUGGAAACCAGUGUUAUCACGGGGCAUCGGCGAGGCGGCAGACCUCGGGCGUCGGCGAGGCGGCAGACCUCGGGGCGUCGGUGUUGGCAACCAGUGUUUGCCAAGAAGGCAGACGUCGGAGAAGAGACGGCAGACCACUGGGCGGCGAGGUGGUUGCCGUACGGAAGGCAUCGGAGAAGAGAUGGCAGCGUAAGAGUGAGAAGAGACGGCAGCGUGAGGGGAGAGAUGAUUUCCUAUUCCGCCCAGCUGAUUCAUAGGGAUACGGCUGGGCUGAUUGGUUUCCUUGUACGUCUGCGCUGAUUGGUUUCCUUGUAUGUCUAGGCUGAUUUUUUUCCUUGUAUGUCUCGGCUGAUAGCUGAUUGUCUGCGCUGA
Molecule: non-coding RNA, 821 nt
Organism: Lolium perenne
Lineage: Eukaryota; Viridiplantae; Streptophyta; Magnoliopsida; Poales; Poaceae
Source: RefSeq, a predicted model, not a curated record